GACGAACGCUGGCGGCGUGCCUAAUACAUGCAAGUUGAGCGAUGAAGAUUGGUGCUUGCACCAAUUUGAAGAGCAGCGAACGGGUGAGUAACGCGUGGGGAAUCUGCCUUUGAGCGGGGGACAACAUUUGGAAACGAAUGCUAAUACCGCAUAACAACUUUAAACAUAAGUUUAAAGUUUAAAAGAUGCAUUUGCAUCACUCAAAGAUGAUCCCGCGUUGUAUUAGCUAGUUGGUGAGGUAAAGGCUCACCAAGGCGAUGAUACAUAGCCGACCUGAGAGGGUGAUCGGCCACAUUGGGACUGAGACACGGCCCAAACUCCUACGGGAGGCAGCAGUAGGGAAUCUUCGGCAAUAGACGAAAGUCUGACCGAGCAACGCCGCGUGAGUGAAGAAGGUUUUCGGAUCGUAAAACUCUGUUGGUAGAGAAGAACGUUGGUGAGAGUGGAAAGCUCAUCAAGUGACGGUAACUACCCAGAAAGGGACGGCUAACUACGUG
This 497-nucleotide ribosomal RNA is filed under the name uncultured bacterium. RNAcentral describes it as "partial 16S ribosomal RNA". It matches the Rfam family "Bacterial small subunit ribosomal RNA", at positions 28 to 507 of the family's 1533-position model. The record is from RNAcentral.